GCGGGGAAUAUUGGACAAUGGGGGGAACCCUGAUCCAGCCAUGCCGCGUGUGUGAAGAAGGCCUUUUGGUUGUAAAGCACUUUAAGCGAGGAGGAGGCUACCGAGAUUAAUACUCUUGGAUAGUGGACGUUACUCGCAGAAUAAGCACCGGCUAACUCUGUGCCAGCAGCCGCGGUAAUACAGAGGGUGCAAGCGUUAAUCGGAUUUACUGGGCGUAAAGCGCGCGCAGGUGGCCAAUUAAGUCAAAUGUGAAAUCCCCGAGCUUAACUUGGGAAUUGCAUUCGAUACUGGUUGGCUAGAGUAUGGGAGAGGAUGGUAGAAUUCCGGGUGUAGCGGUGAAAUGCGUAGAGAUCUGGAGGAAUACCGAUGGCGAAGGCAGCCAUCUGGCCUAAUACUGACACUGAGGUGCGAAAGCAUGGGGAGCAAACAGGAUUAGAUACCCUGGUAGUCC
RNAcentral lists this ribosomal RNA (451 nucleotides) under uncultured bacterium. RNAcentral's name for it is "partial 16S ribosomal RNA". It matches the Rfam family "Bacterial small subunit ribosomal RNA", at positions 354 to 796 of the family's 1533-position model. The record is from RNAcentral.